RNAcentral lists this ribosomal RNA (489 nucleotides) under Streptococcus intermedius. Its description in RNAcentral is "bacterial SSU rRNA". It matches the Rfam family "Bacterial small subunit ribosomal RNA", at positions 28 to 491 of the family's 1533-position model. The record is from RNAcentral. Lineage: Bacteria; Bacillati; Bacillota; Bacilli; Lactobacillales; Streptococcaceae.
GACGAACGCUGGCGGCGUGCCUAAUACAUGCAAGUAGAACGCACAGGAUACACCGUAGUUUACUACACCGUAUUCUGUGAGUUGCGAACGGGUGAGUAACGCGUAGGUAACCUGCCUGGUAGCGGGGGAUAACUAUUGGAAACGAUAGCUAAUACCGCAUAAGAACAUUUACUGCAUGGUAGAUGUUUAAAAGGUGCAAAUGCAUCACUACCAGAUGGACCUGCGUUGUAUUAGCUAGUAGGUGAGGUAACGGCUCACCUAGGCGACGAUACAUAGCCGACCUGAGAGGGUGAUCGGCCACACUGGGACUGAGACACGGCCCAGACUCCUACGGGAGGCAGCAGUAGGGAAUCUUCGGCAAUGGGGGGAACCCUGACCGAGCAACGCCGCGUGAGUGAAGAAGGUUUUCGGAUCGUAAAGCUCUGUUGUUAAGGAAGAACGAGUGUGAGAAUGGAAAGUUCAUACUGUGACGGUACUUAACCAGAAAGG